RNAcentral lists this small RNA (119 nucleotides) under Klebsiella aerogenes. Its description in RNAcentral is "partial RtT sRNA". It matches the Rfam family "RtT RNA", at positions 1 to 116 of the family's 130-position model. Rfam says of the family: This family represents a bacterial cis-regulatory element known as RtT RNA. The exact function of RtT is unknown although it is thought that it may be involved in changing the cellular response in relation to amino acid starvation. Lineage: Bacteria; Pseudomonadati; Pseudomonadota; Gammaproteobacteria; Enterobacterales; Enterobacteriaceae. The record is from RNAcentral.
UAUUCUGCCCUACGGGGAAGGAUGAGAAGCUUCGACUAAGGUUCGACUCGAGCGUCAGCGAGAGAACGUUGCCGCAGGCAACGGCCCGAAGGGCGAGGCGCUUUAGCGCCGAGUAAUCC